Molecule: ribosomal RNA, 386 nt
Filed under: uncultured bacterium
Lineage: Bacteria
Description: bacterial SSU rRNA
Rfam family: Bacterial small subunit ribosomal RNA
Source: RNAcentral
AACGAACGUUAGCGGCGCGCCUAACACAUGCAAGUCGAGCGAGAAAGGGCUUCGGCCCCGGUAAAGCGGCGCACGGGUGAGUAACACGUAGGUAAUCUGCCCCUGAGCGGGGGAUAACCUUCCGAAAGGAGGGCUAAUACCGCAUGGGACCACGACGACGCGAGUCGUUGAGGUGAAAGCCGGCCUCUGCAUGCAAGCUGGCGCUUGGGGGAUGAGCCUGCGGCCCAUCAGCUAGUUGGUAGGGUAAUGGCCUACCAAGGCGUAGACGGGUAGCUGGUCUGAGAGGAUGAUCAGCCACACUGGAACUGAGACACGGUCCAGACUCCUACGGGAGGCAGCAGUGGGGAAUCUUGCGCAAUGGGCGAAAGCCUGACGCAGCGACGCCG